This 292-nucleotide ribosomal RNA is filed under the name uncultured bacterium. RNAcentral describes it as "partial 16S ribosomal RNA". It matches the Rfam family "Bacterial small subunit ribosomal RNA", at positions 505 to 796 of the family's 1533-position model. The record is from RNAcentral.
GUGCCAGCCGCCGCGGUAAUACGGAGGGGGCUAGCGUUAUUCGGAAUUAUUGGGCGUAAAGGGCGCGUAGGCGGCCCGGUAAGUCAAAGGUGAAAUCCCUCGGCUCAACUGAGGAACUGCCUUUGAAACUGUCGGGCUUGAGGCCGGGAGGGGGUAGCGGAAUUCCCAGUGUAGCGGUGAAAUGCGUAGAUAUUGGGAGGAACACCGGUGGCGAAGGCGGCUACCUGGACCGGUUCUGACGCUGAUGCGCGAAAGCGUGGGUAGCAAACAGGAUUAGAAACCCCCGUAGUCC